Molecule: long non-coding RNA, 1986 nt
Organism: Capsicum annuum
Lineage: Eukaryota; Viridiplantae; Streptophyta; Magnoliopsida; Solanales; Solanaceae
Exons: 2
Source: RefSeq, a predicted model, not a curated record
UAGCAAACAACGACAACAAACAACAGCUUCCCCAGAAGACAAUAGCAAAACCAAAAUGCCCAUCUUGUCCUCCCCAAAUGACAACCUUCUUAAAACCAAGAGUAAUGCCAACCCUCGUUCUCUCGUCUCUCUCCAACUCCAUACGUGAGAGGCGUGCGUAGAAUAAGAAGGUGUACUCCAAAAGAUUCGAUAAAACACCAAACUAUUAUCCACUCAAUUUUUUAUUUUCUACCAAAUUGGUACAAUUUUUAGUUCAUCCUUAUCCUCAUCUAAAAUUCUCAAAAUACCCCUUAAAAUCCCCUCUCCCACAUGGACUGCAGUCAAAACUCAACCAUGAAUCUUGUUCUAUAAAUACCUAUUCUAUUUUGGUGAAAACCAAGUCUUGAUGGUUGGAAAAACUUUUGAACAAGAAGCCUUGAAGAUCAGAAUUAUCGAGCAAAAGGGAAUUUUGAGCUAAAGAUUUUCCUCUAGUUUACCAUUUUAUCAGAAUUCAUAUAAGACUCCUUUGAGCCUAGAGUUUCAAUUAAAAGUGGUGUUAUGGCGGUGGUUAAAGGAUUUUAACGACGACUUAGAGUCCUGGUUUUCUUCUCUAAGAAAGUUGCUGCAAUUGGUACUGUUGGAUCUCUGCCAGUUAUUAAUGUAGGUGGUGAAGAACUGAUAAGUGAUUGCUAUAAUAGUGUCUUAAAGGUGAACCAAAAGUACAAAAACAAAGCUAAACUUGUCUUGGUAAUGCGUAACUAUGCAAUAAAGCACAAGUUCAAUUUCAGAGCUGAGAGAUCUGACAAGUAGAGGUUUGGUUUUAAUUUUUCAAUAACAAUUUUUGAUUUAAUUUGCAAUUUGAUACAUCUGGAAGCUGUAGUGAUACAUUUGUAUAUUAGUUAAUUGUUGAUUCAUAUAGUAGGUUAUUCAUAUAACUGUUUUUUUAUGUUGGUGAUUAAUGUAACUGAUAAUUCAUGUAAUUAGUGAUUCAUAUAAAUGAUGAUUUAUGUAACUGGUGAUGCAAAUAACAUGUGAUUCAUAUAAGUGAUACAAAUAACUAAUUAUUCUUGUAAGUGCAUAUUCAUAUAAAUGGUGAUUCAUAUAACUGGUUAUUCAUGCACUUGGAUAUUCAUAUAAAUGGUGAUUCAUAUAAACAGAUUGAAAAAAAUAGGUUAUUCAUAUGUCUUGUGAUUCAUAUAAUAAAAAAGAAUAACAAAUUAAGUUCAUAUUUGUGAUUCUUGUUGACUGUUUAUUCAUUGGUUAGUUGGCUCAUUUUUUGAUUGAAGUAGUCUUAUAUGGUGAUUCAUAUAUAAACAGAUUAACGUAACUUCAUAUUGGCAAUUUAUUUUUUUGACGUAUAUUUUAGUUAUGUCUUGCUGUGCAAAUCGCCGGAAUGUAGUUGGAUAUUCAAGGCAUUCUGUAAGCAUGGUACUGAUACAUUUAUAGUAUGUACCUUCAACGAUGAACGCACCUGCUCAAUAAUGGACAGAGUGGUUGAGCAGCAGCAUGCAACCGUUGCCUUUGUAGCUGGAAUAACAGCUCCAAAAUUGGUGAACUACAAAAGAAUAGUCACCUCAAGCGACAUUAUUGAAGAUAUAAAAGGGGAACUUGGUUUGGACAUGAUUACAUGAAGGCGUGGCGUGCUAAAGAACGUGUUUUAAAGAUAUUGAGAGGGCGAUCGGCUGACGGAUAUGAGAAAAUGCCCACCUACGUAUACAUGUUGAAUUCUAUUUAUCCCAAUUCACAUAUAAGGAUACUACAACCUUUUAUUAGGGGAUUUGGGUAUUGUAGGCUUGUUGUGGUAGUAGACAGAAGUCACAUGAGAGGACCAUAUCAGGGAACAUUCGUUUCAGCUAGCACACUUAAUGGAGCAGAUAUUGCACGUAGUGAUUUAUAUUUUUCUUACAAAUGAUGGUAAUUGUUAUAUAAGUUAGACAUAAUAAUUGUUUGAUAUUAUGUAUCAAGACAUAUAUUACUGCUUGCGUAUGGGAUUGUAGAUUCUGAGAA